RNAcentral lists this ribosomal RNA (407 nucleotides) under uncultured bacterium. Its description in RNAcentral is "bacterial SSU rRNA". It matches the Rfam family "Bacterial small subunit ribosomal RNA", at positions 356 to 773 of the family's 1533-position model. The record is from RNAcentral.
GGGGAAUAUUGCACAAUGGGCGAAAGCCUGAUGCAGCAACGCCGCGUGAGGGAUGACGGCCUUCGGGUUGUAAACCUCUUUUAGUAGGGAAGAAGGCUUCGGUUGACGGUACCUGCAGAAAAAGCACCGGCUAACUACGUGCCAGCAGCCGCGGUAAUACGUAGGGUGCAAGCGUUGUCCGGAAUUAUUGGGCGUAAAGAGCUCGUAGGCGGCUUGUCGCGUCUGCUGUGAAACCCCGGAGCUCAACUCCGGGCCUGCAGUGGGUACGGGCAAGCUAGAGUGCGGUAGGGGAGAUUGGAAUUCCUGGUGUAGCGGUGGAAUGCGCAGAUAUCAGGAGGAACACCGAUGGCGAAGGCAGAUCUCUGGGCCGCUACUGACGCUGAGGAGCGAAAGCAUGGGGAGCGAAC